CUCACUUCAUUGGUAGAUAUACUAACAUUGGAAUACUACAGAGAAAAUUAGCAUUGUCCCUGCAGAAGGAUGACAUGCAAAUUCAUGAAGCCAAGUCAUCCCUUUUUU
Molecule: small nuclear RNA, 108 nt
Filed under: Sciurus vulgaris (Eurasian red squirrel)
Lineage: Eukaryota; Metazoa; Chordata; Mammalia; Rodentia; Sciuridae
Source: RNAcentral